GCGCCAGUGGUGUAGGGGUUAUCAUGGCGGCUUCCCAAGCCGUUGACCCGGGUUCGAUUCCCGGCUGGCGCA
Non-coding RNA from Nematostella vectensis (starlet sea anemone), 72 nucleotides. The record is from Rfam. Lineage: Eukaryota; Metazoa; Cnidaria; Anthozoa; Actiniaria; Edwardsiidae.